Molecule: ribosomal RNA, 206 nt
Filed under: uncultured bacterium
Lineage: Bacteria
Description: partial 16S ribosomal RNA
Rfam family: Bacterial small subunit ribosomal RNA
Source: RNAcentral
AGCGUAGGCGGACAUUUAAGUCAGGGGUGAAAUCCCCGAGCUUAACUUGGAAUUGCAUUCGAUACUGGGAAGCUAGAGUAUGGGAGAGGAUGGUAGAAUUCCAGGUGUAGCGGUGAAAUGCGUAGAGAUCUGGAGGAAUACCGAUGGCGAAGGCGGGUCUCUGGGCAGUAACUGACGCUGAGGAGCGAAAGCGUGGGUAGCGAACA